Pongo pygmaeus (Bornean orangutan) is the source of this 5802-nucleotide long non-coding RNA. RefSeq lists it as uncharacterized. The record is from RefSeq and is a predicted model, not a curated record. The transcript has 2 exons. Lineage: Eukaryota; Metazoa; Chordata; Mammalia; Primates; Hominidae.
CAUGUCUGGCUAAUUUUUCUAUUAUUGGUAGAGACAGGGUUUCACCAUAUUGGCCAAGCUGGUCUCAAACUCCUGACCUCAGGUGAUGCCCCCACCUUGGCCUCCCAAAGUGCUGGGAUUACAAGCGUGAGCCAGCACACCCAGCCUCUGGCCUCCUUUUACUAAAAAGUAGCCCACUUCAGAUGUCGAAAACCCUCUCUGUCUCACUGUGUUCCCUUCUGAGCAGACCCAGAAGGGUUCUGAAAACCAACCCUUUGCCAUUAAUGACUGACUAGUUGUACUUUCACUGAAAUCCCACCAAAAUUACCUCAAACUAGUACCUACAGUUUAAGCCUUUUAGUCUAUGAUUGUGAAACAAAAGGUACGUGGCCUUAUUAAUAAAUUUUGGCAUCUGUAAGGUGGGAGAUAAUCGUGAGACAAGGGAACCUUCAAAGCCAUAUUUUGUCACUUUUAGUGGUCCUUGAAUAGAGGGUGAUUUUGCCCCUAAGAGAACGUUUGGCAAUGUCUGGAGGUAUUUCUGGUGUCACAGCUUUAUGGGGGAAGCGGGGAGGAUGGACAGUGCUACUGUAGGCUUCUAGCAAGUAGAGGCUAGGGAUGCUGCUCAACGUCCUACAACACAGGGGACAGAACCUCACAACAAACAAUUGCUGCCCCGACGUGAAAGCCACUGAUCGAAAGGGUGAACUUGACUGGAACAUUGAGGUGCCUUGUGAGUCAGGGCAGUUAGUAUCUGGGGGAUGCUGGCUGAGCCUGCCAAGCAUCUAUUGAAAAAUUGCUGGAGGUGAAGGAUCAUGUCUUUGGGACCUAGAGAGUGAGAUAUUUGGACUCAGUUUCUGCCUCCACCCUUCCCCUAACUUUAUUUGGAUCUUCCCACAGCCCCAAGACGUUCAGUACACAUUUUAUCUCGUCCUAGAUCACCUUCUUUUUUAGUAUGUAGAGAUUUUGAGGGGAAAGGUAAAUAGGAGACUCUUUCUCAACAGAGGUAGGAUAAGAUUUAUCUUAAUCCCAAUUAAACAAUAGUGAAGACCCAAAAGAAAAAAGUUGGAAACCCAAGCUUUUCACUUAAGUUAAUAGCAAUGAAGAAUCAAUUUAUUGAACAAAAAUUAAGUCUUAAAGGAGGAGAAUAGGCAGGGCAUGGUGGCUCACACCUGCAAUCCCAGCACUUUGGGAGGCUAAGGCAAAUGGAUCACUUGAUGACAGGAGUUCAAGACCAGCCUGGCCAACAUAGGGAAACCCCCUCUCUACUAAAUAAAUAAAUAAAUACAAAAAAUUAGCUGGGUGUGGUGGCAUCGCCUAUAAUCCCAGCUACUUGGGAGGCUGAGGCAUGAGAAUUGCUUGAACCCGGGAGGUGGAGGUUGCAGUGAGCUGAGAUCAUGCCAGUGUACUCCAGCCUAGGCGACAGAGCAAGACUCUGUCAAAAAAGAAAAAAAAAAGGAAAGUUAUGUUAAUAAAGUAUAAACUCCAAAAUUUAACCAGAAGUUAGUGGAUAUUAGCUCUUACCAUGGAAAAUUAUCAUUACUUAAAUAAUUUGCUAAAUUUUAUUUUUAAGUGGUUUAGUAGAAAUGUAUUUAAUAGAUGGAACUAUGUGUGUUUUAAACAAAUAGCUACUGCCAAAUAUGUAGAAGUAAACAUUGAAAUGAUUAUUAGGGCUAUCAAGAAUUGUUUCUAUAAAUCAAACCGAUCAGAUUCAUAUUGAUUAAAGCCAUUUUCUUAAUUUUAUACUUCUAUUGUUCAUCAUAUCACUAGCAUUUACAAUAAAGAAUAUGUAAUUAUGAAUUCAAAUAUACUCAAAUUCUCAUGAAGGCAAAACCCAAGAAGAAUAGUUGUAAACAGGGGAUCAUUAAUCACCUUUUUCAAAUAUUGCCUGAUUUCCACUUAGACUUAUUAGCUGAUUGCUUUUAGACAGUGGUUUCCAAACUUGGCAAUGUAUCAGUACCAUUUAAGAACUGGUGACAGGGCCAGGAAUCUCCAAUUAAAAUAUCAGCAAAUGAUUUUGAUACCCAUUCAUGACAUAUAGGUAGUUGCCCUGUUGAUGCUUAUACUAAAACAAGUUUUAAAUGAAGAGGCCAGAUCUAAAAUAUUUCUGAAGUGUUUAAUUUGAAGCCCCAAAAUGCUUUAGGUAUUGUAACUCUACCCCUACUUUCCAAGGAAUAAAAACGUGGAGGGGGAGGAAUGUGGUAAAAUGUGAUUAGUAAUCUUUUUGUCACAAUAAGGACAUUGACGUCAGUGCAUCUAAUUCAGAUUGGGGAAGGACUGCCUGUUUUUAAUUUUCUGGGAUGUUAAUGGAAUAACUAAAACUGUAAUUAUUAAUUUGGUCAAUAAGAAGUCAUUCAACUAAAGAAAGCACUGGAACCUACCAGUCUUAGUGAAUAAUAUAAUUGCAUCUAGUCCCCAGAAACUUCUACAUCAACCUAAUAAUGUAUACAUGAAUCAUAUUCUUAAUUAACAUUUCCAUAAAUAUGCUGAAGGGCAGCUCAAAGAAAAUGGAAUACAGACUGAACAGGAUAUACAGGCAUCCCAAUUUCUACUCCUUCCCAUUCAUAGCUUGCUCUUUUGAUGCUGCCUAAUAGACAUCUCUAUAUUUUGUAUAUAUUUAGGGACAUAUUUCAUCUCCACUGUACUGACCAGCUAAGGGCUUUGGCUCAGAUAAAUACGAGGUUGCAUGGGUAGAUACUGUUUUAUUCUAUGAAUGACAAGUUCAGAAGGGUGGUUUCCAGGAAUGCAAUGAAUUUGAAAUAAUCAUUUAAAAUAAUGACAGCUGAUCAUGUAUUGUUUACUGUGUGUUUUAGAUGCUAUGCCAAGUUUAAGUUUAUUAUGUAAUUUAGUCAUAACAGCACAUCAUGAAAUAGGUACCAUCAUAAUUCCUAUUUUACAAAUAAUGAAACCAGAGAACAGACAAGUUACCCAAAGUUAGUAGCUUAUUAAUAGUGGAGUUUGUAAUAAUAAUUAUUAUUUUUUUUUUUUUUUUUUUUUUUUUGAGACGAAGUCUCGCUCUGUCGCCCAGGCUGGAGUGCAGUGGCGCAAUCUCAGCUCGCUGCAAGCUCCGCCUCCCGGGUUCACGCCAUUCUGCCUCAGCCUCCCGAGUAGCUGGGACUACAGGCGCCCGCCACGACGCCCGGCUAAUUUUUUGUAUUUUUAGUAGAGACGGGGUUUCACCGUGUUGGCCAGCAUGGUCUCGAUCUGACCUUGUGAUCCACCCGCCUCGGCCUCCCAAAGUUCUGGGAUGUAAUAAUUGUUUUUGUGUGUGAACUCAGCAGAGAAGUAUGUGAAUAAUUUUUAAAAAACAAAGGAAAAGAAAAGUCCUUUGGAAAAAAAUGAUAAUACCUAGUUUUAAUUAAAAAAAAAAAAUCCUGACACUUGAAGUGUCCACUUUCUUAGCAGAGAGUGGCUGAUUUUCAGACAGCAAACUAUGUAUCAGAAAACCGGGAGAAAAACCCAAGAUAUGUCCCUACUCAAACUGAUUCAAACUUCAAUAUGUAUAUGGAACAGGAAGGACUGGGAUCAAAAUUCUCAGCCCAUUUCUAGUGGGUAGAACAUUUAAAAAUAAUUAUAAGGAAUUAUGUGAGGUCAUUUGGCAAGAAGGAGUCAAUAGGGCAGUGUUGGAUGACACCUCUUCCAUUCCAACAGUGUAAGCUCGACUGUGUCUUAAAUUGAUCAGACUAAGAAAGAACGAUCAAAGUUCUCAGAUAGGUUGCUACACCCCUCUACAUUCCAUCUGCAACUCAGCUUUUGUCCUUCAAGUUUCUAAUUGCUUCAUUUGAGCCAUACACUCAGUAUAAAGGAGAAAGUUGGACAAUCCGGGUCACAAAUGGGGAGCUGACUGGCAGUUCCCGGAAUCACCUUUGCCUUCAGUCCCUAUCAUUGCGGGAGCCAGGCUGUAAAAUCUAGCAUGGGACAAGAGGCUCAUCUGUCAGCUGUGGCUCCCGGAGCAGUAGCCCGGCAGUAAGUGUCUCCAGGAGGAAUGUGAACAAUGCGGAACCACCCACAUCUGGAGGCUCCCAGUCUCAAUGGAGUAGUAGGGACAGAGUUACUGUUCGCACUGGCAUUGGGGAUUGGCACUAUGCUAUCCACUCUCACUCAGCUCAUUAUUACGCAGGGAAGGAAUUUGGCAAACUUUUUUUUUUUAAGACAAGGUCUUGCUCUGUCAUCCAGGCUGGAAUACAGUGGUGUGAUCAUAGCUGUCUGCAACCUCAAACUCCUGGACUCGUGAUCCUCCCACCUUAGCCUUCCAAGUAGUGACGACUACAGGCGCAUGCCACCACACUCAGCUAAUUUUGUAAAUUUUUGUAGACACAAGGGUUCACUGUGUUGUCCAGGCUGGUCCUGGUCUUGAACUCCUGGGCUGAAGCCAUCCUUCCACCUUGGCCUCCCAAAGUGCUGGUAUUACAGGCGUGAGCCACCACGCUUGGCAGACUUUAUUUCUUAAAGAUUGCCGUCUUACUCAGCAUCUUGGAGAACUCACAAAUAAAUGUCCCUGAGUUUCAAGACAAGCCAGCCAUUAAAAUCUUUUAGGGAGAUCCGGAGAAGAUGAGUUAAAUUGGAAUGGACUUGAAAAGACUGAUUUAGUUGGAUUUAUGGAUCACAGUCAUGAAAAGGGUCUUGUUCUGUUGCUAAAGCUGGAGUGCAGUGGAAUGAUCUUAGCUCACUGCAGUCUCCACCUCCCGGGCUCAGGUGAUCCUCCUUUCUCAGCCUUUCAAGAGCUGGGACCGCAGGCAUGAGUCACCAUGCCCAACUAAUUUUUGCAUUUUUUGUAGAGACAGGGUUUCACCAUGCUGCCCAGGCUGGUCUUGAACUCCUGGGCUCAAGAGAUUUGCCCACCUGGGCCUCCCAAAGUGCUGGGACUACAGGCAUGAGCUACCGCACCCAGCCAAAAAAACCCUGAUAAUAUGAUUUAAAAAAAAAAAAAAAAAAAGAGAGGAGGAGGUAAAUAAUAACAAACUCCCAGGCUCAAUCUCCAGAGAGUUUGAUUUGGUAGAUUUGGGGCUAAGAAAUCUGUAUUUUAAAAACUUUUCAUCAUGUAAAAUUUGAAACUAUAAAAAGACUUGUUAAAAAAAAAUCCUCACAUAUCCCAUUAGAUUGAAGUUAUUAACAUUUGCUUUAUUUGCUACAUCUAUUUUUUUAGAUAUUUUAAAGCAAAUUCUAGACGUCUUGAUAUUUCGCACGAAAUGCAUGAGUUUGCCUCUUAAAAAUGCCAUUUUGUUAUAUAACCAGAUACCAUAAUCACACCUGACAAAUUUAAUAAUAAUUUCUUAGCAUUUGAAAUGUCCAUGUCCCCAAAAUGUCAUCUUACAGUUGGCUUGUUGGAAUUCAGGUCCAAACAAGUUCCAUGCAUUCCCUUUAGUUAUUGUGCAAGUUAGUUUUGUUUUUUAAAGAAGAAUUCCCCUUUUACCUGGAACUACCAUUAACCAGUGCCUCAAUCAGGCUGGCCCUCUAGGCUUCUAUAAGACAAUUCAGAUGUAGAAAGAAAGGGCCAUGGACAUUCUUCUUUCAAUAUAUUUCUAUCCUCUAUGGAUUUAUCAGACCACAUUCUUUUUGGAGAUCUUACAAAGACAGGAUGGGUGUGAGAUGGAGAGGGGUGAGAUGCAGAGAACUGCAGAUAGCCAGGAAACCAUCCUUCUAAAGGAACUAUGCAUUUUCUGGGCCAUCUUUCCCCAAAAUGUUUUAUAAAAUAUUUCUGAGAUUAAGUUUUUCUUUUCAAGUAGCUCAAGUGGUACAACACACAGCAUCUCCCUUUUGGAGGCUCAUAAUGCACAUUGAAUAUACUGUAUUAAAGACUCUUUGGAGUUCCACAAAGAAAUUUUA